GCUGCUUGAAGUUGAGGUUAAAGCACUUUAUUAGGUCAAAUAGAGGGAACCCUGCUCUCUGUCCGUAUUUUGUCUGAAGAAGAGCUGUUUGAUGACGACGACAAAAGUGAGAAUUUAAUAUCCUAGAAUUGACAGAUGUAUGACUUGGCUUUUGAAAAAGCGGGAUGAGAAUGCACUGACCACUCCUUCAGUGAGCUACAGAGUGUAUGGCAACUCACCCCAGACUUCCAUUCCUGCAAAGGAGCCGGGAACCCACUGGAGUGCAGUAGGAGCCAUGCCUAAUGCUGUCUGCAGAGAUAUUUCUGAAGCUGGAGCAGAAACUGAAUUAACAAGGUGUGAAGUGGUUGUGCUAUCCGCAGUUGUCCUUAUCCUUUCGUAGGGAGACAGGCUCCAACAUUAGCCACAAUCGCACAUAAGCCAAGUCAAGCCACUCUCUCGUGUGUCUGUAAAUGCCAGUGCUGCCUGGAUUGCCAGAAAUGGGAGGGUUGCCACAAGUCGCAGGAGGCACCUCCACUGAACAUCUGACCUUCUGACACAAAACACCAAAAGUGCCAGCGAUCACAGCUGUAACAGUCGGUGGCUGCUUGUUCGGUGAGAACCACCGCUCUUCGGACAGAAUAGAUUUCUGGGUAUUGAUGUCUGCAGCAGAUGAAAUUAAUGUG
This is a long non-coding RNA of Pristis pectinata (smalltooth sawfish), 662 nucleotides long. RefSeq lists it as uncharacterized. Lineage: Eukaryota; Metazoa; Chordata; Chondrichthyes; Rhinopristiformes; Pristidae. The transcript is spliced from 5 exons. The record is from RefSeq and is a predicted model, not a curated record.